Molecule: ribosomal RNA, 772 nt
Filed under: uncultured bacterium
Lineage: Bacteria
Description: bacterial SSU rRNA
Rfam family: Bacterial small subunit ribosomal RNA
Source: RNAcentral
AAGCGUGCGCAGGCGGUUUUGUAAGACAGAUGUGAAAUCCCUGGGCUUAACCUAGGAACUGCGUUUGUGACUGCAAGACUUGAGUGUGGCAGAGGGGGGUGGAAUUCCACGUGUAGCAGUGAAAUGCGUAGAGAUGUGGAGGAACACCGAUGGCGAAGGCAGCCCCCUGGGUUAACACUGACGCUCAUGCACGAAAGCGUGGGUAGCAAACAGGAUUAGAUACCCUGGUAGUCCACGCCCUAAACGAUGCCAACUAGGUGUUGGAGAAGGAGACUUCUUUAGUACCGUAGCUAACGCGUGAAGUUGGCCGCCUGGGGAGUACGGUCGCAAGAUUAAAACUCAAAGGAAUUGACGGGGACCCGCACAAGCGGUGGAUGAUGUGGAUUAAUUCGAUGCAACGCGAAAAACCUUACCUACCCUUGACAUGCCAGGAAUCCUGCAGAGAUGUGGGAGUGCUCGAAAGAGAACCUGGACACAGGUGCUGCAUGGCUGUCGUCAGCUCGUGUUGUGAAAUGUUGGGUUAAGUCCCGCAACGAGCGCAACCCUUAUCCUUUGUUGCCAGCGGUCCGGCCGGGAACUCAAAGGAGACUGCCAGUGAUAAACUGGAGGAAGGUGGGGAUGACGUCAAGUCAUCAUGGCCCUUACGACCAGGGCUACACACGUGCUACAAUGGCGCAUACAAAGAGAAGCGACCUCGCGAGAGCAAGCGGACCUCAUAAAGUGCGUCGUAGUCCGGAUUGGAGUCUGCAACUCGACUCCAUGAAGUCGGAAU